GGGAUACACUUAGAGUCCCCGGCAUAGGAGUGUUAAUAGCGGUGUCUUUGGCCGGGCAUCGUGGUUAGUGAAUC
This 74-nucleotide non-coding RNA is filed under the name uncultured Prevotella sp. RNAcentral's name for it is "L13-Bacteroidia ribosomal protein leader". It matches the Rfam family "L13-Bacteroidia ribosomal protein leader". The record is from RNAcentral. Lineage: Bacteria; Pseudomonadati; Bacteroidota; Bacteroidia; Bacteroidales; Prevotellaceae.